GCAAAUAGGCCUUACUACCCUAAAGGCGCCAGAUCCUGUCUGAUCUUGGAUGCUAAGGAGGGUCAGUCCUGGUAAGUACUUGGAUUGGAGGCUGCUAAUGAAUGCUGGGUGCUGUAAGCA
This 120-nucleotide ribosomal RNA is filed under the name Anolis carolinensis (green anole). The record is from RNAcentral. Lineage: Eukaryota; Metazoa; Chordata; Lepidosauria; Squamata; Anolidae.